This 834-nucleotide ribosomal RNA is filed under the name uncultured beta proteobacterium. RNAcentral describes it as "bacterial SSU rRNA". It matches the Rfam family "Bacterial small subunit ribosomal RNA", at positions 54 to 889 of the family's 1533-position model. Lineage: Bacteria; Pseudomonadati; Pseudomonadota; Betaproteobacteria. The record is from RNAcentral.
CAUGCAGUCGAACGGUAGAGGGGGCAACCCCUUGAGAGUGGCGAACGGGUGAGUAAUAUAUCGGAACGUGCCCAGUCGUGGGGGAUAACGUAGCGAAAGUUACGCUAAUACCGCAUACGAUCUACGGAUGAAAGCGGGGGAUCGCAAGACCUCGCGCGACUGGAGCGGCCGAUAUCAGAUUAGGUAGUUGGUGGGGUAAAGGCUCACCAAGCCAACGAUCUGUAGCUGGUCUGAGAGGACGACCAGCCACACUGGAACUGAGACACGGUCCAGACUCCUACGGGAGGCAGCAGUGGGGAAUUUUGGACAAUGGACGCAAGUCUGAUCCAGCCAUUCCGCGUGCAGGAUGAAGGCCCUCGGGUUGUAAACUGCUUUUGUACGGAACGAAAAGGUCUCUCCUAAUACGAGAGGCUCAUGACGGUACCGUAAGAAUAAGCACCGGCUAACUACGUGCCAGCAGCCGCGGUAAUACGUAGGGUGCAAGCGUUAAUCGGAAUUACUGGGCGUAAAGCGUGCGCAGGCGGUUAUAUAAGACAGAUGUGAAAUCCCCGGGCUCAACCUGGGAACUGCAUUUGUGACUGUAUAGCUAGAGUACGGUAGAGGGGGAUGGAAUUCCGCGUGUAGCAGUGAAAUGCGUAGAUAUGCGGAGGAACACCGAUGGCGAAGGCAAUCCCCUGGACCUGUACUGACGCUCAUGCACGAAAGCGUGGGGAGCAAACAGGAUUAGAUACCCUGGUAGUCCACGCCCUAAACGAUGUCAACUGGUUGUUGGGUCUUAACUGACUCAGUAACGAAGCUAACGCGUGAAGUUGACCGCCUGGGGAGUACGGCCGC